AGUGAACGCUGGCGGUAGGCCUAACACAUGCAAGUCGAACGGCAGCACAGUAAGAGCUUGCUCUUACGGGUGGCGAGUGGCGGACGGGUGAGGAAUACAUCGGAAUCUACUUUUUCGUGGGGGAUAACGUAGGGAAACUUACGCUAAUACCGCAUACGACCUACGGGUGAAAGCAGGGGAUCUUCGGACCUUGCGCGAUUGAAUGAGCCGAUGUGGAUUAGCUAGUUGGCGGGGUAAAGGCCCACCAAGGCGACGAUCCGUAGCUGGUCUGAGAGGAUGAUCAGCCACACUGGAACUGAGACACGGUCCAGACUCCUACGGGAGGCAGCAGUGGGGAAUAUUGGACAAUGGGCGCAAGCCUGAUCCAGCCAUACCGCGUGGGUGAAGAAGGCCUUCGGGUUGUAAAGCCCUUUUGUUGGGAAAGAAAAGCAGCAGGUUAAUACCCCGCUGUUCUGACGGUACCCAAAGAAUAAGCACCGGCUAACUUCGUG
RNAcentral lists this ribosomal RNA (491 nucleotides) under uncultured bacterium. RNAcentral describes it as "partial 16S ribosomal RNA". It matches the Rfam family "Bacterial small subunit ribosomal RNA", at positions 29 to 507 of the family's 1533-position model. The record is from RNAcentral.